GGCCCAUUCGACUAGGGGCUAGGUCAUCAGACCCUCAUUCUGAAAACAGCGGUUCGAAUCCGCUAUGGGCUA
RNAcentral lists this transfer RNA (72 nucleotides) under Bacteroidales bacterium. Its description in RNAcentral is "tRNA-Glu". It matches the Rfam family "tRNA". From Rfam's summary of the family: Transfer RNA (tRNA) molecules are approximately 80 nucleotides in length. Their secondary structure includes four short double-helical elements and three loops (D, anti-codon, and T loops). RNAcentral also lists the same sequence under 1 other name. The record is from RNAcentral. Lineage: Bacteria; Pseudomonadati; Bacteroidota; Bacteroidia; Bacteroidales.